This 245-nucleotide ribosomal RNA is filed under the name uncultured Prevotella sp. Its description in RNAcentral is "partial 16S ribosomal RNA". It matches the Rfam family "Bacterial small subunit ribosomal RNA", at positions 524 to 768 of the family's 1533-position model. Lineage: Bacteria; Pseudomonadati; Bacteroidota; Bacteroidia; Bacteroidales; Prevotellaceae. The record is from RNAcentral.
UACGGAAGGUCCGGGCGUUAUCCGGAUUUAUUGGGUUUAAAGGGAGCGCAGGCGGAAGGUUAAGCGUGACGUGAAAUGUACCGGCUCAACCGGUGAUGUGCGUCGCGAACUGGCUUUCUUGAGUGAGUACGACGCUGGCGGAAUUCGUGGUGUAGCGGUGAAAUGCUUAGAUAUCACGAAGAACUCCGAUUGCGAAGGCAGCCGGCGAGUCCUCAACUGACGCUAAUGCUCGAAAGUGCGGGUAU